CCGCGAUACGUACCUAUUAACGGCUUACGAUUACAGUAGCGAUUAUAUUGUCGGAGAAAAAAAAACGAAUAAGUUGAAUAGUAUUUAUGACCAUAUAGUUAACGAGCAUUGUGCCCAGUGGCGUCAUUUGGGGAGAGGCGGAGGGGAUGUUCGCCCCUCUCUUGUCAUCAGCAAGGUUUUAUUGGCCGGGUAUAGGUUAGUUUUGGGCCACAAGCCUGCGAACAUAAUUUAUGAUUUAUCUUGCAUACGGCCACCCUGAGCUACAGUUUUUUAAGAUUUAUUUGUG
Non-coding RNA from Cinara cedri, 286 nucleotides. NCBI's taxonomy places the organism in Eukaryota, Metazoa, Arthropoda, Insecta, Hemiptera, Aphididae. The record is from the annotation of a GenBank genome assembly.